GACGAACGCUGGCGGCGUGCUUAACACAUGCAAGUCGAACGGAAAGGCCCUGCUUUUGUGGGGUGCUCGAGUGGCGAACGGGUGAGUAACACGUGAGUAACCUGCCCUUGACUUUGGGAUAACUUCAGGAGACUGGGGCUAAUACCGGAGAGGAUCUCCUGCUGCAUGGUGGGCGUUGGAAAGUGUCGGCGGUUGUGGAUGGACUGGCGGCUUAUGAGCUUGUUAGUGGGGUAGUGGCGUACCAGGGCUGUGACGGCUAGCCGGCGUGAGAGGUUUACCAGCGACAAGAGUACUGAGAUAGGGAGCAGAAGGGAACGGGCGGCAGUAGUGGAAAACCUGGCGCAGUGGGGGGACGCCUGUUGUGACGACUUCGGGUGCGGAAUGCCGUGUUUUGGGUUGUGAACAGCUUUGGAAUGUGAUGAAGAGUGCUUGACGGUAAUGGGUAAAGAAGCACCGGCUAACUACGUG
Molecule: ribosomal RNA, 468 nt
Filed under: uncultured bacterium
Lineage: Bacteria
Description: partial 16S ribosomal RNA
Rfam family: Bacterial small subunit ribosomal RNA
Source: RNAcentral